UUUCCGUAGGUGAACCUGCGGAAGGAUCAUUAAUGUAUAACCGAGUCUCGAGGGCUGUCGCUGAACCGAAAGGUCGCGCACGCCCGAGUGCCCUCACACACAUCCAUCCCCCCCCUAUGUGCACCACCGCGUGGGUCCCCCAUUGGCUUGUUCGGAGGGGGGCUUACGUUUUCACACCAACUUUGUAUGCAGUGUAGAAUGUAUUUUUUGUUUUUGCGAUCUCGCAAUCAAUACAACUUUCAACAACGGAUCUCUUGGCUCUC
RNAcentral lists this unclassified non-coding RNA (263 nucleotides) under plant metagenome. Its description in RNAcentral is "partial contains small subunit ribosomal RNA, internal transcribed spacer 1, and 5.8S ribosomal RNA". The record is from RNAcentral.